This 440-nucleotide ribosomal RNA is filed under the name uncultured bacterium. RNAcentral's name for it is "partial 16S ribosomal RNA". It matches the Rfam family "Bacterial small subunit ribosomal RNA", at positions 338 to 795 of the family's 1533-position model. The record is from RNAcentral.
CCUACGGGAGGCAGCAGUGGGGAAUAUUGCACAAUGGGGGAAACCCUGAUGCAGCGACGCCGCGUGAGUGAAGAAGUAUUUCGGUACGUAAAGCUCUAUCAGCAGGGAAGAAACUGACGGUACCUGACUAAGAAGCCCCGGCUAACUACGUGCCAGCAGCCGCGGUAAUACGUAGGGGGCAAGCGUUAUCCGGAUUUACUGGGUGUAAAGGGAGCGUAGACGGCAGCGCAAGUCGGGAGUGAAAUCCCAUGGCUUAACCAUGGAACUGCUUUGGAAACUGUUCAGCUGGAGUGCAGGAGAGGUAAGCGGAAUUCCUAGUGUAGCGGUGAAAUGCGUAGAUAUUAGGAGGAACACCAGUGGCGAAGGCGACUUACCGGCUCCACACUGACGCUGAGGCACGAAAGCGUGGGUAUCGAACAGGAUUAGAUACCCGGGUAGUC